AUUGAACGCUGGCGGCAGGCCUAACACAUGCAAGUCGAACGGUAGCACAGAGAGCUUGCCCUCGGGUGACGAGUGGCGGACGGGUGAGUAAUGCCUGGGAAACUGCCCGAUGGAGGGGGAUAACUACUGGAAACGGUAGCUAAUACCGCAUAACGUCGCAAGACCAAAGUGGGGGACCUUCGGGCCUCACACCAUCGGAUGUGCCCAGAUGGGAUUAGCUAGUAGGUGGGGUAAUGGCUCACCUAGGCGACGAUCCCUAGCUGGUCUGAGAGGAUGACCAGCCACACUGGAACUGAGACACGGUCCAGACUCCUACGGGAGUCAGCAGUGGGGAAUAUUGCACAAUGGGCGCAAGCCUGAUGCAGCCAUGCCGCGUGUAUGAAGAAGGCCUUCGGGUUGUAAUGUACUUUCAGCGGGGAGGAAGGCGGCGAAGUUAACAGCUUCACCGAUUGACGUUACCCGCAGAAGAAGCACCGGCUAACUCCGUGCCAGCCGCCGCGGUAA
RNAcentral lists this ribosomal RNA (504 nucleotides) under uncultured bacterium. RNAcentral describes it as "partial 16S ribosomal RNA". It matches the Rfam family "Bacterial small subunit ribosomal RNA", at positions 30 to 523 of the family's 1533-position model. The record is from RNAcentral.